This 433-nucleotide ribosomal RNA is filed under the name uncultured bacterium. Its description in RNAcentral is "partial 16S ribosomal RNA". It matches the Rfam family "Bacterial small subunit ribosomal RNA", at positions 29 to 507 of the family's 1533-position model. The record is from RNAcentral.
AACGAACGCUGGCGGCAUGCCUAACACAUGCAAGUCGAACGAGACCUUCGGGCCUAGUGGCGCACGGGUGCGUAACGCGUGGGAACCUGCCCUUAGGUUCGGAAUAACUCAGAGAAAUUUGAGCUAAUACCGGUUGAUGUCUUCGGACCAAAGAUCUAUCGCUUUUGGAUGGGCCCGCGUUGGAUUAGCUAGUUGGUGGGGUAAAGGCCUAUCAAGGCGAGGUUGCAUAGCUGGUCUGAGAGGAUGAUCAGCCACACUGGGACUGAGACACGGCCCAGACUCCUACGGGAGGCAGCAGUGGGGAAUAUUGGACAAUGGGCGAAAGCCUGAUCCAGCAAUGCCGCGUAAGUGAUGAAGGCCUUAGGAUUGUAAAGCUCUUUUACCCGAGAUGAUAAUGACAGUAUCGGGAGAAUAAGCUCCGGCUAACUCCGUG